RNAcentral lists this transfer RNA (79 nucleotides) under Opitutia bacterium AMD-G3. Its description in RNAcentral is "Opitutae bacterium AMD-G3 tRNA-Arg". It matches the Rfam family "tRNA". Rfam says of the family: Transfer RNA (tRNA) molecules are approximately 80 nucleotides in length. Their secondary structure includes four short double-helical elements and three loops (D, anti-codon, and T loops). RNAcentral also lists the same sequence under 4 other names. Lineage: Bacteria; Pseudomonadati; Verrucomicrobiota; Opitutia. The record is from RNAcentral.
GAGGGGGUAGCUCAGCUGGAUUCAGAGCAGCAGCCUUCUAAGCCGCCGGUCGCGGGUUCGAGUCCCGCCCCCCUCGCCA